AUAAAUGUGCCUGAUUAAAGGGUUAAUUUGAUAGAUUAAAUUAAGUUAAAUUUUAUUUACU
Molecule: transfer RNA, 61 nt
Filed under: Carrhotus xanthogramma
Lineage: Eukaryota; Metazoa; Arthropoda; Arachnida; Araneae; Salticidae
Description: tRNA-Ile
Source: RNAcentral